This 497-nucleotide ribosomal RNA is filed under the name uncultured bacterium. RNAcentral describes it as "partial 16S ribosomal RNA". It matches the Rfam family "Bacterial small subunit ribosomal RNA", at positions 28 to 507 of the family's 1533-position model. The record is from RNAcentral.
GAUGAACGCUGGCGGCGUGCCUAAUACAUGCAAGUCGAGCGAACAGACGAGGAGCUUGCUCCUCUGACGUUAGCGGCGGACGGGUGAGUAACACGUGGAUAACCUACCUAUAAGACUGGGAUAACUUCGGGAAACCGGAGAUAAUACCGGAUAAUAUAUUGAACCGCAUGGUUCAAUAGUGAAAGACGGUUUUGCUGUCACUUAUAGCUGGAUCCGCGCCGCAUUAGCUAGUUGGUAAGGUAACGGCUUACCAAGGCAACGAUGCGUAGCCGACCUGAGAGGGUGAUCGGCCACACUGGAACUGAGACACGGUCCAGACUCCUACGGGAGGCAGCAGUAGGGAAUCUUCCGCAAUGGGCGAAAGCCUGACGGAGCAACGCCGCGUGAGUGAUGAAGGUCUUCGGAUCGUAAAACUCUGUUAUUAGGGAAGAACAAAUGUGUAAGUAACUAUGCACGUCUUGACGGUACCUAAUCAGAAAGCCACGGCUAACUACGUG